GCGGACGUGGCGAAAUUGGUAUACGCGCGGGUUUUAGGUUCCCGUCUUUCGGGGUGAGAGUUCGAGUCUCUCCGUCCGCACCA
Molecule: transfer RNA, 83 nt
Filed under: Pseudomonas nitroreducens
Lineage: Bacteria; Pseudomonadati; Pseudomonadota; Gammaproteobacteria; Pseudomonadales; Pseudomonadaceae
Description: tRNA-Leu
Rfam family: tRNA
About the family: Transfer RNA (tRNA) molecules are approximately 80 nucleotides in length. Their secondary structure includes four short double-helical elements and three loops (D, anti-codon, and T loops).
Source: RNAcentral